AGCGAACGCUGGCGGCAGGCUUAACACAUGCAAGUCGAGCGGGCGUAGCAAUACGUCAGCGGCAGACGGGUGAGUAACGCGUGGGAACAUACCUUUUGGUUCGGAACAACUGAGGGAAACUUCAGCUAAUACCGGAUAAGCCCUUACGGGGAAAGAUUUAUCGCCGAAAGAUUGGCCCGCGUCUGAUUAGCUUGUUGGUGAGGUAACGGCUCACCAAGGCGACGAUCAGUAGCUGGCUGAGAGGAUGAUCAGCCACAUUGGGACUGAGACACGGCCCAAACUCCUACGGGAGGCAGCAGUGGGGAAUAUUGGACAAUGGGCGCAAGCCUGAUCCAGCCAUGCCGCGUGAGUGAUGAAGGCCCUAGGGUUGUAAAGCUCUUUGUGCGGGAAGAUAAUGACGGUACCGCAAGAAUAAGCCCCGGCUAACUUCGUGCCAGCCGCCGCAGUAAU
This 450-nucleotide ribosomal RNA is filed under the name uncultured bacterium. RNAcentral describes it as "bacterial SSU rRNA". It matches the Rfam family "Bacterial small subunit ribosomal RNA", at positions 29 to 524 of the family's 1533-position model. The record is from RNAcentral.